ACCCCAAACCAGCCGUAACUCACUACACCCCUUGCUGCCGCCGUGGACUCGCCGGAAAACUUAGUGAUUCCGGUCGAGUCCACUCACCCGAUUCUCCAUGGUCCCCCCCUCCCUUGUCCUCUCUCUCCAUAUCAGUUAAACGCGUAACUAACCAUUCACUCUCUCGAAUCUUCCAUCCGUUUCUACUUUCCACACCUUUUGGACAGAUAUUGCAAAAAUGUUAGCCAUAGGAUCAAAAUAUUAUGGUCCAAGGUUUCCACUUGUCUAAAAUCAGUCCAUUCAAAGGUAAUUUCAGAUUUUAGAGGUUUUUGGAUUUUUAGAGGAGAAUUUUCGUGUUUCUUGGAGAAGAAGAUUGGACGUUUUGGAGCCACUAUAAAUGCUCUCAUUUUCAAAUUUCAGAGGAGAAUUUUUGGGACGGAAAAUUAGGAGGAAAAACUAGGUUUUGGUUUUGGCUUUUACUUUUCUUCUUCUGAUUUUCAUUUCAGAUUCAUAUAACCACAAAAAAAAAAGAUUUCAAUUUGUUCUAGUUUUAUUUUUAUUUCAAAUUUGAAAAUACACAAGAUAAAUUUAGUCUCUUCCUUUGAUUUUGAUUUCCAAAAUGGAGUGAAGUUGAAACAGGUGUUCGAUUGUUGGAGUUGCUGCUUGAGGUGCGGUCCAUUGGUUUUGUUCGAGUUCGACUGACGUUUUGAAUUUUACUCGUAAUGCGCUAUUCUGUCUGUUGUUGUUGUUGGAAUUUUUCGUCAAUUGAAAGCUAUUUAAGGUCCAUCUCUUUACCUUUUCUUUUAUAUUGCUAUAUAUAUGGCGGUUUAAACUAUAGUAUCAGCCCAUUUAAGAAUAGUUUGUAGAAGGAUCUAUUAUUUCUUUUGGUUUAUUAAUUAUGAGCCAUGAUUUUCAGAUUUCGUUUAGUCCUAAGUUCUCUUCAUAGAUCUCUCUUUGAUAUUUGUCAAGUUUUCUUUGGUUAGUUUUAAUCUUGUGUAGAGUCUUCUUAUUUUCUUAAAAAGGAUAAUGAAUCGUGUGUUCUCAUGUUCAUAUGUUUAGAUUGAAAGCUUCUGUUACAGCCUUAGGUUUCAUCUUAAUAAAACUUGUCUGCAUUUUUGGAAUAACUAAAGGUAGAUAAACCUUUUUCUCAUUUUUAAAUAUGAAAAGCUCUUUUUAGUGACUAAGUUCCUAAUCGUCAAAGUUCAUUUUAUUAAAAUAAACAAAUCUUCUCUUCUUCUGGUUAUAGCAUGUUCACUAAUUGACAUUCAAAGGAAGUGCAUAAAAAUUCUCUUAAAGAAAAUCAGAUGUCUGGUUCUAAAAUAGGCUGAUCUAUAGUUUGAUCAUGUUUCUUUCUGUUAUUUAUUUUGAUAAUUCAAUGUCUACUUGUAAGAUGUUUGUUUCCUUAGCUUUAUAUUUGUGACUAUAGUAAUUAGAUUCGGAAGUUCAUGAAUUAAAGAGAGAAAAAUAGAAUUUGAUACCUUGAUGACAUGUAUUGUGCUACGGGAUUCGGGCUAAAUGGAACUAAAAGAAUUGGAGCUUAAUUGUUUAUUACUUUCUUUACCUUAUAUCGCUAGAGCAUGUUUAGGCCGUCAACACUCGGGUAGGCAAAUUUUAGGUCUCGUCUUUUAUUUCACUCGAGGUGAGAGGUCGUCCCCUUUAGUUUUUAUUCAGGGGAAUGUCCUGUAUAUUUUGUAUAUAUCUUAUCCGUAUAUAGUAGCUAUAGUAUAUAGUCUCUGAAAGGCCAAAUGCUGAAGCUAUAGUAGCUCAUAGGGUACUCAGACUUCUCCCAAGGAUGAUUCUUUGUGCGGGUACCUCACACUAGUUCCAAUCACCUGCCUUGCUUCCUAUACUCUUAAUAAAAGGCCAAAUGAUGAAGCUAUAGUAGCUCAUAGGGUACUCAGACUUCUCCCAAGGAAUCAUAGGGUACUCAGACUUCUCCCAAGGAAUCAUAGGGUACUCAGACUUCUCCCAAGGAUGAUUCUUUGUGCGGGUACCUCACACUAGUUUCAAUCACCUGCCUUGCUUCCUAUACUCUUAAUACUACAAAAUAAAAAUAAAUACUAAAAAAAUAACAUAAUAACAAUAAAUAUAAAAAACUAAAUUAAAAAACUACAGUAAAGCUAGGUUGCCUCUCAACAAACGCCUAAUUUAACGUUGCAUCACGACAUGAACCACUUUGUUCCCCCAUCUCGAACUUAUGAAUUAAGCCUCUUAUUUGUCUUCAAGUUUUUUGUUAUCCUCUUUUGGUGGGGCUACAAAGAUAACCAAGUCAAAUAAUAAAAAUUUUACUCUAUACUUUUCGGCCUUUAGAUAAGGAAUGUAAUUUUUGCUUUUUGGCACAACAAAUUCAAGAAUAUAGGCACUCUCAUCUUCACUCUUUGACUCCCUUAUAGGCUCAGAUGACUCGAUUAUUAUCUUGCUAUUAAACACAAUGUGAAAAAAUGAUUAGAAUAAGGUCUAAUAUGUCCUAACUCAUAAAUUGUACUAUUAUUUAUAUCCCCAUAUAUACACACAUUCAGGUCUCCCAAAGUAAUGUUAUCUACUCCCUCAUAUGACUCUAGACCAACAUCGGCAUUCUCAAUAAAAAUAUGGUCUAAUGAUUGGUAUUCUCGUUUUAGCUUCUCAUUUUGGUUUAGAAGAUUUUUUUUCGCUUCACACAAUUCAUCAUUACAUUGUUGGGCGUUACACGCAUCAACUCAAUUAUGAAGAUGUAACGACCCAACCGGUUGUUUUGAGAGUCGUAGCCCCAUUUCUCCAUUUUGUAUUUCAUUUGUGUUCUUCAGCUAUAUUAUGUCUUACUGGAUCAGUUUAUUCGGGUCCGGAGUUGUUUUGGAGUGAAUUGAGACACUAAGUUUCUUAGCAGAAGGUUUAAGUUAGAAAAGUUGACCGGAUAUUGAUUUAUGUGUAAACGACCUCAAGUUUGAAUUUUGAUGGUCCCGUUAGCUUUGUUAGGUGAUUUUGGAUUUAGGAGCACGUCCGAAUGUGAUUUGGAGGUCCGUGGUAGAAUUAGGCUUGAAUUGGCAAAAGUUAGAAUUUUAGCGAUUUUUGCCGGCAGCGAAAAUUUUGAUAUCGGGGUCGGAUUAGAUUUUCGGAAGUUGGAGUAGGUUCAUGUUGUCAUUUCUGACUUGUGUGAAAUAUUUGAGGUCAUUUAGACGUGGAUAGGUAGGUUUCAGUAUCGUUUGUGGAAUUUGGAAGUUUAGAAGUUCUUAGGCUUGAAUCUGAGUGUUAUUGGGUGAUUCGAAGGUUCGACUAAGUUUGUAUGGGGUUAUAUAACCUGUUGGUAUGUUUGGUUGAGGUCCCGAGGGCCUCAGAGCAAUUUCGGGUAGUUAUCGGAGAGUUUGGAGUUGGAAAAAUGCAGCUGAAGCAGCUGCUGCUGGUGUUUGGCACCUGUGGAGUGGGAACCGCAGGUGCGAGGUCGCAGAAGCGGGUUGAGAGGCGCAAAUGCGCAGUUGGAUUGCAGGUGCAGCUUGGUCCCCGCAUCUGCAAUGGCCGCAGAUGCGGUCAGGUGAUCGCAGGAGCGGAGCCAGCCUUUUUAAUGAAUCUCCGCAGAAGCGGAGCCCUGCUAGCAAAUGCGGUUUAGCUAGGCAGAAAACCCCAGCUCGAGGUUCUAUUCUCCAUUUUCAAUUUUGGACUUGAGGAACUCAGGAAAGAGGCAAUUUUUUGAAGGAUUUCAAGAGGCAAUGUUGGGGUAAGUGAUGCUAACCCACAAUGGUAUAAAUUUCAUGAAUCCAUAGCUUUAUUCAUCAUAUAAUGAGGGAUUUGAGCUAGAAAUUUUGGGAUUUAGGGCUUGAGAAUUGGAGAGUGAAGUUUGAGGAUUUGAUUGACCAAAUUAGGUCGAUUUUGAUAAAUUUGGUAUGGUUAGACUAGUGAGUGAAUGAGAUUUCGAGUUUUGUGACUUUUGUCAUAUUUCGAGACGUGGGCCCAGGGGCCGGGUUUGAGCUAAUUUCGGGUUUUGGCUAUAAUUUGGUAUUUUUCUUGUGGAAUUAAUUCCUUUAGACUAUAUUGAUCGCAUUGUAUAUCUUGUGGCUAGAUUCAGGACGUUUGGAGACCGAUUUGAGAGGCAAAGGCGUCGCGGAGUAGGAUUUUGGCUUGGUUUGAGGUAAGUAACGCUUCCAAACUUGGUUCUGAGGGUUUGAAACCCCAAACUACGUGUUAUGUGAUUAGUAUUGAGGUGACGCACAUGCCAAGUGACGAGCAUGUGGGCGUGCACCGUGAGAAAUGUGACCUGGGUGAUUCCAUGGCACCGUUUAGUGACUUUAUCAUGUUGAUAUCCAUGUUUUCUUCACGUGAUAAAGUAUUCGAGCUGUAAAUCAUGCUAGAUAUCAUGUUUAGGCUUUGUGCCGGUAUUGUUGGACCCUUACGAUCGUUUCUUGCUGUCGUCUCACUAGUUUUCUUUUAAUACUCCAUACUCAGUCAUGAUCAUGCAUUUUUAUAUCAUAUCUCAGUCUCAAUUAUUUAUUCAUUCUUCAUAUCAUUGUUCCGGGUUGUUUUCAUGAUAUUGUGAGCCCGUGGUGAGACUAGAGAGGUUGAUGACUGAGUGAGGUCGAGAGCCUGGUUAUGAGUAAUAGUUAUGGGAUCGGGUUGCAUGCCGCAACGAUUAUAUUGAUGAUUAUGAUAGCGCUUGGGCUGUAGGAGCCCCUCCAGAGUCUGUAACAUACCCCCAGUGAGCGCGAAUGAUAUUAUUGAGGGAUGGAUUUCCCUGGACAUGGAUUUGUCCGAAGUACUUAAUACCUGGAGAUGGAUUUCUCCACAGGGUUGGAUUGCCCUUUGUCCUCGGUGCUGGGUGACUUACAGUCAGUGUUGUAUAUGUUCUAGGAUGGAUUUCCCUGGGCCGGAUGGCCAUAUACAGUACCGAGUGGUUGGGCACUUGAGAGUGAAAGUACAUGGUGCAUUUUAUACAUUCUGUGCAUUGAUACUUAGAGAUUUGCUAAGUUGUAUACCUUACAUUAUUCAAAUAUGUAUUUACUUUACUGCUUUGAGCUGUAUAUUUGACUUGAAAGCAUGCCUUCAUCUCUGCUCAUUUACUUCUGUUUUACCUGUUGAGGUCAAGUCCGUCACUACCUUUCAGUCCAACGUUUGAACUUGUUACUUGCUGAGUUGGUGUACUCACGUUACUACCGGUCGUAGCAGCUUUUGCUGAUCUAGGUUCCAGAGUUUGGAGACUGAUCUAGACGCUCAUGUACUCAGUAACACCCUGGUUUUGGGCUGGAUUGUAUCACUUUGGGAUUUUUCUGAUGUUUUAAACAGUUUUCUUUUAUGUUAAAUGCUUCCGUUAAGUUUUUCAAAUUUAUAGUUGUUGUGUUGAGUUUUAUUGAGAGAGGCUGGCCUUGUUCCACGAUAGGCGCCAUCACGACGGUAGAGUUUGGGUCGUGACAAGUUGGCAUCAGAGCGUAGGUUACAUAGGUCUCACGAGUCAUGUGCGAGUUUAGUAGAGUCUCGCAUAUCUGUAUGGAGAGGUCUGUACUUAUCUUCGGGAGGCUGCAGAACUCUUAGGAAACUUCACAUUCUUGAAUUCUUAUUGUGCAGAUCUAUUGAUACUAGUAACUAAACUUCUAUUAUUUUGUUCUCUCAUAGAUGGUGAAGACACGUGCUACUUGGCAGGACGGACAACCACCA
This 5595-nucleotide long non-coding RNA is filed under the name Nicotiana tabacum (common tobacco). Its description in RNAcentral is "long non-coding RNA (NTAB_LNC010667)". Lineage: Eukaryota; Viridiplantae; Streptophyta; Magnoliopsida; Solanales; Solanaceae. The record is from RNAcentral.